Molecule: RNA transcript, 3589 nt
Organism: Lagopus leucura (white-tailed ptarmigan)
Lineage: Eukaryota; Metazoa; Chordata; Aves; Galliformes; Phasianidae
Gene: TIMMDC1
Gene name: translocase of inner mitochondrial membrane domain containing 1
Exons: 10
Source: RefSeq, a predicted model, not a curated record
CCAUGGCGGAGGGGCUGGGAGCAGGGCGGACCUUCAGCCGCCCCACGCCGCCGCCGCAGACGGGCUGGGAGCGGCUCAGCGAGCUGUGGCGGCGAGACGAGCAGCAGCGGUAUCCGGAGGAGACGGUGAACAUCAUCAAGUCGGCGUUCACCGGGGGCCUGGUCGGCUGGCUGUACGGCGGCCUGCCCGCCUUCCGCCAGGCGCGGAGGGCCUUCAUCGAGGGCAGCCAGGGAGAGGUGUUCCAGAACCGCGCCGAUGCGGUGCAAUCUGCACACCGUGCUGGGCUCAGGAGCUUCAUCCGCUACGGCUGGCGCUGGAGCUGGAGGGUGGCCACCUUCGUGACCAUAUUCAACAUGGUGAGCACCGGUCUGUCCGUGUACCGCGAUAAAACCACCAUCAGUAAUUUUGCUUCAGCAGGAGCCUUCACAGGAGCUCUCUUCAGAAUGCACUUGGGCCUGUCUGGGCUGGCAGGCGGCUUCCUGUUCGGAACAGCCUUUGGGAUCCCUGCAGGGGGCCUCAUAAUGAUUGCACAGAAACUUGCUGGUGAGACAUUGCAGGAGAAGCGAAAUCGUGAGCGCAGGGAGCAGUAUGAACAGAAAUUAGCAGAGUGGCAAUCCAGGCUUAAUGUGACUGAAGACUUGGGCAAAAUGGACAGCGAUGCCCAGGAGCAAUCACAGACAGAAAAUAGCAGGAGAAUCUAGGAGCUGCUGAGUCGUCCUCAGAUCUCUGUUGCAUCAUGGUGAAAGCAUCUCUGCUACACUAUGCUGAAAGCUUCAAGGAAUAUCCCUUCUCCCUAGAGGUUGGCACUAGAAAGCCUCACAUGUGGGGAGGCAACCCACCUACCAGUAACAAAGAGGGUCACGGGCUCUUCACACAGAAGAUGAGAUCCAGGUUUGUCCGGUGAAGACUGGAGACUCUGAACAAUACAUUGUGGGUGGGUACUCACCAGUGCCAGGACCAUAAGCACAAGGGUGCAGCCCAGCCAGGAGCUUCUGCCAACACAGCACUGAUACGCAACCCUGUGCAGCAGCAAGGCCAGGGCAGUUCAGCUAUUGUGCAGGCAAGACCUCCAAGAGCAGCCAGCAAAACUUUGGGAUUGUGGAUCCUGAAAACGACAAUGCAGUUGGGUAUGUAUUUAUUUUCUAUUUCCUUUUGCAGCAACAGGGGAAGAGUAGGCGUACAGAAAAUGUCAGUGUGAUGGCACAUCAUGGGUUGCAUGAGGUUCUCUGUGCCUUGCCCCUAAGAGUCUCCUUUGCUGCCAAAAGGAGAACAAAAACCUCCGUGGCAGUACAUAUACAAGGGCUGGAAACUCCUGCUGAUGUCACAUCUACCCUUACAAGGCGCUGCAGCCUUGAAACUGCAACCUGAGCGCUGAGGGCCUGCAGGAAUCAAAGUCCAUGAAGAGCCAUUCAGCCCCACAAAAGUCCCCUUUCACUUUAAAGGUGAACUGCAAAGCAAAAAUGAAAGCUCAGUUCUGUCCCAUUUCUGUGUUGAAUACCCUCCGUAGCCAGGCUGUGAGGGAGGCAUCCGCCAUGGGAAUAAUUUUUAAUUACUUUUUUAGAAAAAGAAAUAAGCCACCCUCCUGCCCUUGGUGAAGCCCACCCACUCCCUCGCUGUGUGCUUGUGUUUCUCCCUUGCUGGCAGCCUGCAGUGUGCGGCCGAUGCUGACCCUUUUCCCCAGGCAGAGAAGAUGCUCCAUUCAAACUGCUGCUGUGCUGCAGCUGCCCCCAAAGCAAGGCUAAUUGGAACAGAAAGGUGAGCUUAGAGGAAAGGCAUUGGUUUUAUACGCUCUGAGAAUCAGAAAGCAAGAAGGCCGUUUGGGUCUUUAACCAACAUCUUUAGUCUUUCACAAAAUCUUCAGCAAGCCCACAUAUAGGGAAAGACCCUGCUUGGUGGGCCCAGAAAACUUUGCCCCUCUGGGGGCAGCACAUCAGACAGUGCAUCUGCACACUUCUUCAGCUGGCAGUUUUGCAGAAAGCUCUCAGGCAAACUGUCAGGCAUUUAUAUUAGCUUGAACAUUCAGAAAUUUCGAAAAACUGAAUCUCCAAGGGGCUUGAACACUCCCCAUUGUUCUUUACCCCAGUUGAUUUUACUGGUGAGAGAUCUGAAUCUUUCCAAGAUUUUCAUAGCAAAUGUCCUGUGCAAUGCAUGAAUACUGGAAUGAAUACUUUAAGCUAAACCAGCCGCUCUGCACCGCUCUGGCAAAGCAAAGCAGCUGCUGUCUGUGUUCAGUUAGCUGCUGUCACAGUGACCUCCUAACAGGUCAUGUUCAGUUACUCAUCCCAGAUGUGGUGGGAGAGCAGAGAACUCCUUUGUAUUCUGAAGAAAACCUGCCUCCCACUUCAUUUGGCUGCAGAUCCAUUCAGUCUCAUUUCCUCCUACACACUACACAGUGUGCCACAGCAAUGAGAGGGGAGGAUUAUUCCUAGUUUACAUUGAUGUCAUGGCAGGCCUGAGACAGGGAGAGGGUUGGAAGAGGUUUCCUAAAUGUUUAGCUCUGCUUCCUUUUGCAGUGUAACGGCAGUGUGAGCUGUGCUCCCCACCUCUGCAUGCCUCUGUCUUCACAGCCAUACUCCUGCUAACAGAUCAGUAACUGCCUUUAAAGAAUAAAUCCUUGAAAUCAUAUGGUUCAGGCUGUGAAAACCAGAGACCUUCCUGCAUCUACAGGCAUUCCAUACCCUCCUUCCAUGCCAUGAAAGCAUCCAGAAUGGCACAGGAGGUCAUGCUGUAACUGAGUCACUGCUCUGUCAUAAACCUGGCUUUAAUGGGAAAGGAACUCCACCGAUGACAAAAACUUCCAUGAUCUGUGAUUAGUGACUGAGAAGGAGAAGGAGAAUCUGAAAUGCUUUGAUGAAGGGGCUCAGAGCAGCACGAGGGCCACGACAGCCAACCAGUCCUUCUCCCUUUGUUCCUGCUCUCCCCAGCCCUGUCUGGGAACUUCUUGAGAUAAAAAUCUGCCACUCUCUGAGUCACGCGGGCCCUGAGCUGGGACAAGCCCACCGCCUGGGUAUGUCCAGUCUGCUUUGCUUAUAAGAUGAGUAAGACCGCAACUCCUCUCACUGCAACUUAGUUAGUACAUGUCUAACCUCAGCACUAGCCAGGCCAUCUGAGCGCGGGGCUGAAAAGUACUUGGGAGAUGAUGGCGUUGACUGAAUAGCUUCUUGACAUCUCCCCCUUUGUUGCAAAGUCCUCCACAUGGGCGUUUCAUGGGGAAGAAAGGGUGGAGGGCAUGCUUAUGUGUUGCUGGCAUGCACUGGGAGGGACACUGGCGGUGGGGACGGAAGGACAUUUCUGACUUGGGGAAAGGAGUAAAGGGAAGUCUGUCUGAGCCUUCCCCUUCUCCAUUCCCAGUACUGGGAGCGGGUGACCCAGCCAGAGGAAAAGGCAGGGGAAACACUGAAUGUGGAUGCCCGCAGAAGAUUUGCAUGUUUUAGUUCCUUUUGAGAUCAAAUUCCUGCAACUGACUGAGCACUCUUAUGAUUCCCAAGUUCCAGCAGAAACUAGAUGUGGCAGUUGUGUAAGACAGGCCUUUGGGGGGGAUCUGUAGCACACGAAGACAAAAAUAAACUCGCUAAUUUUUUUCCCCAGA